This 496-nucleotide ribosomal RNA is filed under the name uncultured bacterium. RNAcentral describes it as "partial 16S ribosomal RNA". It matches the Rfam family "Bacterial small subunit ribosomal RNA", at positions 28 to 506 of the family's 1533-position model. The record is from RNAcentral.
GAUGAACGCUGGCGGCGUGCCUAAUACAUGCAAGUCGAGCGAACGGACGAGAAGCUUGCUUCUCUGAUGUUAGCGGCGGACGGGUGAGUAACACGUGGAUAACCAACCUAUAAGACUGGGAUAACUACGGGAAACCGGAUCUAAUACCGGAUAAUAUUUCGAACCGAAGGGUUCAAAAGUGAAAGACGGUUUUGCUGUCUCAUAUAGAUGGAUCCGGGCUGCAUUAGCUAGUUGGUAAGGUAACGGCUUACCAAGGAAACGUGGCAUAGCGGACCUGAGGGGGUGAUCGGCAAACCUGGACCUAGGACCCGGCCCAACAUCCUACGGGAGGCACCGGGAGGGAAUCUUCCGGAGGGGGCGAAAGCCUAACGGAGCAAAGCCGCGUGAGUGAUGAAGGUCUUCGGAUCGUAAGACUCUGUGAUUAGAGAAGAACAUAUGUGUAAGUAACGGUGCACAUCUGAACGGUACCGAAGAAGAAGGCCACGCCAAACUACGU